RNAcentral lists this non-coding RNA (30 nucleotides) under Rattus norvegicus (Norway rat). Lineage: Eukaryota; Metazoa; Chordata; Mammalia; Rodentia; Muridae. The record is from RNAcentral.
UGCAGCAGGCGCUGACUGGUCUCUCAGAGA